AAAAUGAGAAGGUGGAAGAGGGGCGGUAUCGGUGGGGGUGGGGACGAGGUAAUAAUAGGAUCCCCCGCCCCGAGAACGGGGUACAGAGGGAUGGGAACAGGAGGGCCUUUGACAAUUGGAGGUGGAGACUGGGCAAUGUCUGGGGAGGCAGGGCGAGGUUCAUUCACGGUAUUCUGGGCGCCAUCAUAGGGUGGUGGCCGG
Pelobates cultripes (western spadefoot toad) is the source of this 201-nucleotide non-coding RNA. NCBI's taxonomy places the organism in Eukaryota, Metazoa, Chordata, Amphibia, Anura, Pelobatidae. The record is from the annotation of a GenBank genome assembly.